RNAcentral lists this ribosomal RNA (490 nucleotides) under uncultured bacterium. RNAcentral's name for it is "partial 16S ribosomal RNA". It matches the Rfam family "Bacterial small subunit ribosomal RNA", at positions 30 to 507 of the family's 1533-position model. The record is from RNAcentral.
AUUGAACGCUGGCGGCAGGCUUAACACAUGCAAGUCGAGCGGUAGCACAGGGGAGCUUGCUCCCUGGGUGACGAGCGGCGGACGGGUGAGUAAUGUCUGGGAAACUGCCUGAUGGAGGGGGAUAACUACUGGAAACGGUAGCUAAUACCGCAUAACGUCGCAAGACCAAAGAGGGGGACCUUCGGGCCGCUUGCCAUCAGAUGUGCCCAGAUGGGAUUAGCUAGUAGGUGGGGUAAUGGCUCACCUAGGCGACGAUCCCUAGCUGGUCUGAGAGGAUGACCAGCCACCCUGGAACUGCGACACGGUCCAGACUCCUACGGGAGGCAGCAGUGGGGAAUAUUGCACAAUGGGCGCAAGCCUGAUGCAGCCAUGCCGCGUGUGUGAAGAAGGCCUUCGGGUUGUAAAGCACUUUCAGCGAGGAGGAAGGUGGUGAGCUUAAUACGUUCAUCAAUUGACGUUACUCGCAGAAGAAGCACCGGCUAACUCCGUG